This 863-nucleotide long non-coding RNA is filed under the name Micromonas commoda. Its description in RNAcentral is "long non-coding RNA (MCOM_LNC000209)". The record is from RNAcentral. Lineage: Eukaryota; Viridiplantae; Chlorophyta; Mamiellophyceae; Mamiellales; Mamiellaceae.
CGACGUCAAACGACGGCUUGGGGGAUUGGGAGAACGCGCUGGGCGGGGAGGACGGGGACGGCGAGCCGUGCCUGGAGCUCAAGAGAAACAGGGCGACGUACUACGUGUACGCGUUCAGGAAGAGGACGGGUGCGUCGCUCGUGGCGGAGCGGGUCGUGAACGAACUGGUGGAAGAGAGCGUCGCGAGCGGGCAACGGGUGUUUCCCUCGUGAGUGCCCAACUUUUUAAUCUUGUCACAUGUGAGCAUAACGCGACACGGUCAGAAAAAAACCGCGAGUCGUCCGUCCCCACUGACGCGUGCGCAUGUCCAUAGCUCGGACGUGCCUCUCCCUCACUUCUCGUCAUCUCACAUCGCGGCGGGUAAUCUCGCACGUCGACCGCGUCGUCGGAUCGCACAAGCCGCCAGCAAGGGCCGCGAGUCCUACCCUUAGACGAACGGGGAAGAAGCUUCGGGAAGGACCCGCUGCUGCCACGAUGCCAGGACACGAUUGGGAGUCUAUGUGGGCUGCCGGCCUCGAGCCAGGGCAGGCUUUCGAUGCCAGCAGGGUCGAGCCCGCGUUCCUCGACCUCAUAAUGACAGGGACGCUACCUAAAGGAGACGCGCUGGUUCCUGGAUGUGGCAGAGGGUACGCGGUGGCAGCUCUGGGGUCAGCCGAAAGGAAAGUCACGGGGUUGGAGAUUUCGGCCACAGCGAAGGCCGCUGCGGACACGUACCUGUCCACGGCCAAAGCCGGCGACGGCAGCGCAGCCUCCGAGCACUGCACCGUUGUGGUGGACGACUUCUUCACCCAUACGGGACGGUACGAUCUGGUCUACGAUUGCACCUUUCUCUGCGCCAUUCCCCCUAGUCGUCGAGAGGAGUG